AUUUGAUAUGUUUAUUGAUUAAUUUCUUUUUGUGAUGUGGUUUGACAGAACCCGAGAGGGAAUGUGAAAACCUUUCACCCAAGUUCUAGAAAGUCUGAUAUUGUCUUACAACUUCACAUUCCUUUGUGAUUCCAAUGGACUGAUUGAGCCCCAGGUUUGAAUUUUUUCUAGUUUUCACACACACACACACACACACACACACACACAGUCAUAAUACCUGUAAGAAGGAAAGCAGUCCUGUAGAACUAAAGUGUUUGAAAAAAAUCUAUGAGCUUAAUGUUUUGGAGGAAAUCCCUUCUAUAGCAGUGGAAAGAAGGCAGCUCAUUUUUGACUUUGAAUGGUAGGACUGUAUCUGCUCUUCAGUUUUUGAAAUACAGCUGUGCCACGUGCACUGAACCUUCACACUGGGAUUCAGCUGCCAUGCUUCACCUUGGGUAUGAUCAUGAUAGAGGCUGAGAAAGGUGACUCCCUCCGUUGAUGUAUUUCCCCAUGAUUGUCUUCCACCAAACGAUACUAAUACUCCCGAAAAUACUUAACAUUUACAAAAUGUUUAUUUUCUGAUUCAUGCCAAAGUACUUGUAAGCCUCCUUUUUUCUCAUAUGCAAAAUGAUACCAAUCAUAUCUAGUUCACAGAUUUAUUGUGAGGAAUAAAUAAGGGACUACAUCUACAGGAUUAGCACAGUGCCUGGAUAUAGUAAUUGCAACAAAUAGUAGCUAUUGAUAUCAUGGUAUUUGUUAUUACUAUU
Cercocebus atys (sooty mangabey) is the source of this 746-nucleotide long non-coding RNA. RefSeq lists it as uncharacterized. The transcript is spliced from 3 exons. The record is from RefSeq and is a predicted model, not a curated record. Lineage: Eukaryota; Metazoa; Chordata; Mammalia; Primates; Cercopithecidae.